AUGGUGGGUGUUGGGGAGAUGAUUGUGAGUGCCGUGGUGAAACAAAUCGCUAGCAGGCUAAUUAAAAUCGUUGGGGAUGAGAUUGCUCUGCAUUGGAAGUUUAAAGGUGAGGUGGAUAAAAUGAUGCAGAAAAUGAAAGAUCUGGCGGCUAUGAUGCAUGAUGCUGACAACAAGGUGAGCCAAGGAGGAGAAGUUGGGAAAGAAGUUGGGCGGUGGCUCCUGAAGUUAAAAUCAGUCGCCUACGACCUUGAGGACCUGCUGGACGACUUGGAUACCAAGAAUAACGAAGCAAAGGUGUUCUUUUCCCGGAACAAUCAAGCAUACCAGUGGAUAACCAGACCCCACAAUUUGGAGGAUGUGGGGAAGAGAAUAGUAGAAUUAGUUAACGAGGGCAGGGUGUUCAAGCUGGCUUGUGAAACACCGACUGAAGGGAGCAGAAGCAAAGAAACAUUUGCAGCCAUCAGCGAUGGAGGCAUCACAAGUGGAAUGCAGGGGAGGGGUGCUGAAAAGGACAAGUUAAUCAGUUUGCUAUUGGGAACCGAAUAUAAUGAGCAUAUCUCCAUCAUUCCAGUUGUGGGGCUUGGUGGUAUAGGGAAGACAACAUUGGUCCAGUCAGUAUAUGGAGACAAGAGGGUCAACAUCUUCGACAUCCGAGCCUGGGUUCAUGUGUCUACCAAUUUUGAUUUGCGUAAAAUUGUGAGUUCCAUCCUCAAAAGUAUAAAUACUGGUAUCAACCUUGACAAUUGUACUUUGCAGUCUCUACAUCAGAGUCUUAAAGAUGAACUUACUGGUAAAAAAUAUUUGAUUGUUUUGGAUGAUCUUUGGGAAGAAAAUGUUAGUAAGCUUGAAGGAUUGAAGCAGAUGUUACAAUAUGGCUCGAAUGGUAGCAAGAUUAUAGUAACUACGCGAAACCAACGCGUAGUGCAAAGUGGCCUGCACACUGGUGUUCUUGCAAAUGCAGGGAAAAUUUGUGUCGCGCUUGUGCAUGACCAAAUCAAUUUGGGUAUUUUGUCAAUAGAUGAUUGUUGGGACCUAAUGAAGAUAAGGGCAUUUGGCCCUGGUGAUGACCAAACUACCUUGGAAAAAAUCGGAUAUGCUAUUGCGGGAAAAUGUGGGGGCCUACCGCUCGUGGCAAAUGCUUUUGGGCAAGUAAUGUCGGAGGACAAGUCCAUCAAAGCAUGGCAAGAUAUAAAAGAGAGGAUGGUUGAUUUGGGUCUGAAAGGCAUACAUCAAAAGGAAACAUUGCAAUCCCUCAAGUUGAGCUAUCACUACAUGAAGUCAGAGUUUAAAAUAUGUUUCACUUAUUUGGCAGCUUUCCCCAAGGGCUUCAUUAUAGACACCAACCGGCUGGUCCAGCAAUGGAAUGCUCUUGGAUAUACUUAUCCAGGGUAUGAUGGUCAAAGAUGCCUCAAGUACCUUUUGGGGAUGUCAUUUCUUCAAAUUUCAGAAUCUUCUUCGGUUGGUCCAAGUUCCAUGCACAGUAAAGUUCCUCAGGAGAUCACCAUGCAUGAUUUUGUGCAUGAACUUGUAACAAUAAUUGCUGCUGAGGAAUUCCUUGUUAUGGAUGGUACUGAACCAAAGAAAAUGGACAAACCUAUCCAUUGCCGACAUGCACAGUUGAUUAAAUACAAGAAUCAGUCCCAUGCCUUCAAACAUCUGCCACUCAAGCUUAGAUCCCUCCAUUUUAGGGAUUCUCAAGAGCUGCAACUCCCCAAAAAUGCAUUUUCUAGAUUCAGGUACAUGCGUAUCUUGGAUCUAAGUUCCUCACAAAGAGGUGGAUGUUUAGUAAUGCCACCAUUUUCCAUAGAUGAACUGCAGUUGCUUAGGUACUUUGAUGUGUCGGGCUUGCCAAUUGCAUCACUUCCUAGGUCUCUCCAUACGCUUCAAAAUAUGCAAACUCUGAUUAUGUCCAAUUGCUCACUUGAAACCAUGCCUGACAAUAUAUGUAGCCUCCACAAACUUCGCUAUUUGGACCUGUCUGGUAAUAGCAACCUUAAUAAGCUACCAACAUCUUUGGUUGGCCUUGCAAAACUCGUAUUCCUAAACUUGUCAGGUUGCUCCAUGCUAACCCGACUAUGCGACAAUGUUUCCCUUGAGUCUUUAGAGCAUUUGGACCUAUCAAAUUGCCAUGAGCUAGAAAACCUGCCAAAUAAUUUUGGCGACCUUCAAAAUCUGGUAUUCUUGAAGCUCUCUUCCUGCCACAAAGUUUCAGUGCUACCAGAAUCAUUCUGCCGGCUAAGGAAUCUGAAAGGGCUAGAUCUUUCAGAUUGCCAUGAACUUAAGGAACUCCCCAAUUGUUUUGGCUUGCUUUACAAGCUAGAAUCUUUAAACCUAGCCAGUUGUCCUAAGCUAAAACUGCUGCCAGAUUCAUUCUGUAAGUUGUUUAAGCUAAGGCAUCUCGAUCUUUCAUAUUCCAUAAUGCUCGAAAGGCUCCCUUCCUCGUUUUAUAACCUUAAGCUUCGUUCAUUGGACAUGCAUGACACAUCUCUCACUACCUUUCCAAAUGGCAUCCAGACAAUGACUACUCUUACCCAGUUUCUAUUCACGUCGGCUAAUCAUUGUGUAGCACAUGAGGCUGAUCUCGCUAUUGAGCAUUUAGGUUUGCAAGGACGGUUAAUACACCCUGUACGUGAGGUACACAAUACAGGAUUUAGCAGUAUAGUGGAGCUUUCGCAGUUGACUUGUCCUGAUCUUCAAGUUGAAUGCCUUGAGAAUGUCAUGAGUCCAGAAGAUGCCGAGAGAGCCAAACUGCAUGAUAGAUCGGAUCUUCUGCGACUAAGUCUUCAGUGGGAUCGAGAGAAGGAGACAUCUGCAGUGGAGUGUAAAUUGGUGCUGGAGCAGCUCUUACCUCCUAGGACUCUUGAACAACUUGCUAUACGAGGGUAUCUGAGCAAAGAUUUCCCUAACUGGAUGACCGACAUAGCCUCACACCUCCCCUCUCUCACCUACCUAAAACUUUAUGAUCUGGACAUAUGUGAUCCUCUGCCCCCGUUAGGCCAGCUGCCAAAUUUAAGAAGCCUGUAUAUGGAGAACAUGCCCAAUAUUGAAGAAAUCGGCAAGGAAUUGUAUGGAGAAGGCCACCCAACUUUUAUCAAGUUAAGAGUGAUAAAUUUACAGGGGAUGCAGAAUUUGGUGGAGUGGUUGACAACACAAUCAGGUGCAGAAAACGAAGAGAUUCUUAUCCCCAAUUUGCAUAAACUAGAAAUAGUUGACUGCCCACAGUUGAAGUUCCUGCCAUAUCCCCCAAGAAGUAUGUGUUGGCGCUUGGAUAACAGUAACAGCGAUGAUAUGGUGUCAGAACGAGUAUCCUUGAAGGUUUCGUCUUACAAUCUUCUUUGUAGGAUGUCAAUAAUAAACUGCAAUUUUUCAAGAGACAAGUGGCAUAGUCUUCGGCACUUCAAUACCCUUGAGAUAUUUGAUGUUAUCUCCUGCAGUGGCUUGAGGGCCUUGCCAGAAGUCUUCAAAUCCUUCACCUCCCUCAAGAAGCUAUACUUGAUAUCGAUAAAGGGCCUCGAGACACUGCCAGAAUGGUUGGGGGACCUCACUUUUCUGGAAGUAAUUAUGAUCGCAUCUCCUGGGAAACUAACAUCUUUACCUGAAAGUGUGCAGAAACUCACCGCUCUCAAAGAAUUGAGGCUAUGGAGGUGCAGGAGCCUGGCAAAAUUGCCAGAUGGGAUAGGGUGCUGCACUUCUCUCGAGAGACUUGACAUCAAGGGCUGUCACAAACUGACUUUUUUGCCAGAAAGUGUCAAGAACCUUCCCGCUCUCAAAUCACUCUGGUUGGUGUACUGCAAACGCCUUGCAUUGCCAGAAUGGCUGGGUCAGCUCAUUUGCCUAGAAGAACUUGCAUUCAGUAGUCGUCCCAACUUGACAUCAUCGCUUACAAGCAUGCAGAAGCUUACGGCCUUGAAGACAAUAAGGCUGCAGUGCAGCGACAUGACAGCAUUCCCGAGAUGUCUAGGGCAGCUCAUUUCUCUGCACUUGCUUAUAAUCUGUGAUUCCCCCAACCUGACAUCUUUGCCAGAAAGCAUAUGCAAUCAUGCUGUCUUGAAAUCACUCGCCAUUACAAGUACCUGUCCAAGUCUGAUUGAGUGGUGCAAUGGGAAGGGCAAUCCGAAGAUUAAUGUUCCAUUCGGUAUGACACGGUCAGAACAACUUUUUGGAUCAGAAGAAGAAGAAUGUGAGGAAGAAGAAGAAUACGAAGAAGAAGAAGAAUACGAAGAAGAAGAAGAAGAAGUAGAAGAAGAAGAAGUGGAUAUGCCAUUAGCAACUAACUGGAACAAAAUUUUAGUCAUAUUCAUUCUUUGUUCUAUGAUAUUGUUGUAUUAUCUAUCACCGGAGAUGAAUGUGCCAGCCGGAAGAAGAAGGCGAAUAAAGGCUACAGCUUGGCAUUGGGAUAACUGA
RNAcentral lists this ribosomal RNA (4404 nucleotides) under Triticum aestivum (bread wheat). RNAcentral describes it as "partial small subunit ribosomal RNA". Lineage: Eukaryota; Viridiplantae; Streptophyta; Magnoliopsida; Poales; Poaceae. The record is from RNAcentral.